CGCGCCCACUCCGCAGGGACCGUUAACGGUCGCCCCUGGCGCAGCGGGAGCGCGGCCUGGAGGCGGAGGCGGCCGAGGGGCGAACAAGGGAAGAAGACGUUUCCACCAGGACAGACUCCGCGGGGCUCGUUUCUCCAUGCGGACCUGCUGCGAACUGCUCUGCUAUUUAUGCCGGCCUGUUACCUCCGAAAGGAUUUCGGUGUCCGCACCCUUCACUGUCUGCAAGAUCAGCUGGGGACAAGAUGGAUUUAGAGGCUGUAAACCGUUAAGUGGAACCAUUCUUUUUUGUUUGUUUGUUUAAUAAUGAGC
This is a long non-coding RNA of Nothoprocta perdicaria, 309 nucleotides long. RefSeq lists it as uncharacterized. Lineage: Eukaryota; Metazoa; Chordata; Aves; Tinamiformes; Tinamidae. The transcript has 2 exons. The record is from RefSeq and is a predicted model, not a curated record.